UGGGGAAUAUUGCACAAUGGGGGAAACCCUGAUGCAGCGACGCCGCGUGAACGAAGAAGGUAUUCGUAUCGUAAAGUUCUGUCCUAUGGGAAGAUAAUGACAGUACCAUAGAAGAAAGCUCCGGCUAAAUACGUGCCAGCAGCCGCGGUAAUACGUAUGAGCGAGCGUUGUCCGGAAUUAUUGGGCGUAAAGGGUACGCAGGCGGUUUAAUAAGUCGAAUGUUAAAGAUCGGGGCUCAACCCCGCAAAGCAUUGGAAACUGAUAAACUUGAGUAGUGGAGAGGAAAGUGGAAUUCCUAGUGUAGUGGUGAAAUACGUAGAUAUUAGGAGGAAUACCAGUAGCGAAGGCGACUUUCUGGACACAAACUGACGCUGAGGUACGAAAGCGUGGGGAGCAAACAGG
Molecule: ribosomal RNA, 402 nt
Filed under: bacterium
Lineage: Bacteria
Description: partial 16S ribosomal RNA
Rfam family: Bacterial small subunit ribosomal RNA
Source: RNAcentral